GCGGAGAGCCGGAUGGCCGCGGGCAGGCCCCGCCUGUCCGAGGAAAGUCCGGACUCCCCGAAGCGACGGUGCCGGGUAACGCCCGGGCAGGGCAACCUGACGGACAGCGCCACAGAAAACAGACCGCCCGGUCCUUCGGGACCGGGUCAGGGUGAAACGGUGGGGUAAGAGCCCACCGGGGGGUCGGCAACGGCGCCCGCAUGGCAAGCCCCACCGGGAGCAAUGCCAAAUAGGGAUCCCGCGCGGGGGCGACCCCGCAGGGCGGCUUCGGCCCGAGGGAUCCGGGUUGGCAGCUCGAGCCGCCGGGCGACCGGCGGCCCAGAGGAAUGGUCAUCUCCGCCCCCUUCAUCGGGGGUGCAGACAGAAUCCGGCUUAUAGGCUCUCCGCGCUU
Molecule: RNase P RNA, 391 nt
Filed under: Roseivivax jejudonensis
Lineage: Bacteria; Pseudomonadati; Pseudomonadota; Alphaproteobacteria; Rhodobacterales; Roseobacteraceae
Description: Bacterial RNase P class A
Rfam family: Bacterial RNase P class A
About the family: Ribonuclease P (RNase P) is a ubiquitous endoribonuclease, found in archaea, bacteria and eukarya as well as chloroplasts and mitochondria. Its best characterised activity is the generation of mature 5'-ends of tRNAs by cleaving the 5'-leader elements of precursor-tRNAs.
Source: Rfam by way of RNAcentral